Molecule: ribosomal RNA, 238 nt
Filed under: uncultured bacterium
Lineage: Bacteria
Description: partial 16S ribosomal RNA
Rfam family: Bacterial small subunit ribosomal RNA
Source: RNAcentral
UACGUAGGGUGCGAGCGUUGUCCGGAUUUAUUGGGCGUAAAGAGCUCGUAGGCGGUUUGUCGCGUCGGCCGUGAAAUCUCCACGCUUAACGUGGAGCGUGCGGUCGAUACGGGCAGACGUUGAGUUCGUAGGGGAGACUGGAAUUCCUGGUGUAGCGGUGAAAUGCGCAGAUAUCAGGAGGAACACCGAUUGCGAAGGCAGCUCGCUGGGACGUGGACUGACGCUGAGACGCGAAAGC